UUUAAAUAGCUGCAGUAUAUUAACUGUACAAAGGUAGCGUAGUAAUUAGUCUUUUAAUUGAGGUCUUGUAUGAAUGGUUUAACAAGAAGAAAACUUUAUUAAGUUAAUUUUAUUAAUUUUAUUUUUUAGUUAAAAAGCUAAAAUUUUUAAAUGGGACGAUAAGACCCUAUAGAUCUUUAAAUUUUUACUAUUUAAAUUAGUUUAAGGUUAUUUAAAUUUUAUUUGUAAAAAAUUUUUUGUUGGGGUGACAGAUAAAAUUUUCAAACUUUAAUAGUUAUUUACAUAGAUUUAUGGACAUUUGAACCUUAAUUUUGGGUUAUUAAAAUUAGAUACCUUAGGGAUAACAGCGUAAUAAAUUUGUAUAGUUCUUAUAGAUAAAUUUGUUUACGACCUCGAUGUUGAAUUAAUCUGAAGUUUUGGGGCAGAAAUUAAAAUUUUAGGUCUGUUCGACCUUUAAAAGAUUACA
This 466-nucleotide ribosomal RNA is filed under the name Unkanodes sapporona. RNAcentral's name for it is "partial 16S ribosomal RNA". The stretch from base 340 to 466 matches the Rfam family "Bacterial large subunit ribosomal RNA", at positions 2473 to 2600 of the family's 2925-position model. The record is from RNAcentral. Lineage: Eukaryota; Metazoa; Arthropoda; Insecta; Hemiptera; Delphacidae.